CCUGAAAAAUAAUAAACAAGAUAAACAUGCUUUUUAUAUCUUUGAGGUUAAGUAACAGACUUUCCAUCAACUUUUAAAAUAAUAGAUCAACAGCUACAAUUUAUCUAUUCUUCCAUUCUUCUCUAAAUUAGUUUCUAACUUUUUAAAUUGUAAGUUUCGUUUCUUUAAAUAUCUUAAUUGAAUAAAAAGGUUCAAAUUAUAUAACCUCAAAGAACUAAAUCCCAUACACGUACUUGUAAACAAGGAUUAAUUAGAUGCUGAUCUUGAAUAUUCAAAGUUUAUCACUUAACAUUGAUAGUUGUGG
Molecule: long non-coding RNA, 304 nt
Organism: Bombus impatiens (common eastern bumble bee)
Lineage: Eukaryota; Metazoa; Arthropoda; Insecta; Hymenoptera; Apidae
Exons: 2
Source: RefSeq, a predicted model, not a curated record